This 735-nucleotide long non-coding RNA is filed under the name Homo sapiens (human). Its description in RNAcentral is "novel transcript". The record is from RNAcentral. Lineage: Eukaryota; Metazoa; Chordata; Mammalia; Primates; Hominidae.
AGCAAUCCAUCGCCUCUCACGGGGCCCCGCCCUCUUGCUUCCGAUUUGGAAUUCGGAAUUAGCCUUGCAGACUUCUCUUUUCUGUCCUCAUCGAAAAGACAGCCAGCUUUUGUAACCUUGCCUUGGGGAUGUUAGCAGGAGAAAUGUUGGCAAUUCAAGGCUCUUCUGGUUUUAUAAGAAAACCAGAUUUUGCUGGGAGGCCUGGAGUAGAAGAGAGGGUCUUGGAGAAGCAAACAUGGGAGGAGAGACAUUCCCAGAGAUCAGGAAGAGCAGGUUUGCUUCCAGAACACAGGUGUCAUGAAAACCACCCCUAAAAGCCAAAAUGGGAAAGAAAAAGACUCAUAUCAACAUUGUCACCAUUGGACACGUAGAUUCGAGCAGGUCCACCACUACUGGCCAUCCAAUCUACACACGUGGUGGCAUCAAGAAAGAACCACUGAAAAAUUUGAGAAGGAGGCUGCUGAGAUGGGAAAGAGUGUCUUCAACUAUUCCUGGGUAUUGGAUAAACUGAAUGCUGAGUGUGAAUGUGAUAUUACUCACCAUUGAUACCUCUGUUUGGAAAUUUGAGACCAGCAAGUGACUAUCGCUGUUGCCUUAGGCCACAGAGACUUUAUCAAAAACGUGAUUACAGGGACAUAUCAGGUGGGCUGUGUUGUCCUGAUUAUUGCUGCUGGUGUUGGCAACUUUGAAGCUGGUAUCUCCAAAACCGGACAGACCUGUGAUCAUGCCCUUCUG